RNAcentral lists this long non-coding RNA (242 nucleotides) under Helianthus annuus (common sunflower). RNAcentral describes it as "hypothetical non coding rna". Lineage: Eukaryota; Viridiplantae; Streptophyta; Magnoliopsida; Asterales; Asteraceae. The record is from RNAcentral.
UUAACACACGUAAGGUUUCAAUGUUAAACAGGUUCGGCUCCACUGCGAUGUGUUGAUAGGUCUGCCGCUCGAAAAGCAAAAGAAGCAAAAGUGAUACAAACAUAAUGGACUGGACAUCUCGUGGGUAACAGACCAACGGUGUAUGAUUUCAUGAUUAUAUGCAGACCUGGGCACAGUCAGGAUAUCUUGCUAAAAGAGCCCUAGUCAGAUCUUCCUUGGUCUCUCUGCUGUACGGAAGUACU